RNAcentral lists this unclassified non-coding RNA (222 nucleotides) under uncultured Thelephoraceae. RNAcentral's name for it is "sequence contains ITS2". Lineage: Eukaryota; Fungi; Basidiomycota; Agaricomycetes; Thelephorales; Thelephoraceae. The record is from RNAcentral.
ACACCUCAACCCUUGUGGUUCGCCACGAUGGGCUUGGACUUUGGAGGUUUUGCUGGCCCCCCUGUGGUCGGCUCCUCUCAAAUGAAUCAGCUUACCAGUGUUUGGUGGCGUCGCAGGUGUGAUAACUAUCUACGCUUGUGGCAGCCUGUCAUGCAACCUUCAGCGAUGGGGGUUCGCUGAGGCUUACAGAUGUCUUUCCCAAGUGGAGACAGCUUUUUGAUC